GAUGAAGAACGUAGCAAAAUGCGAUACUUGGUGUGAAUUGCAGAAUCCCGUGAACCAUCGAGUUUUUGAACGCAAGUUGCGCCCGAAGCCUUUUGGCCGAGGGCACGUCUGCCUGGGCGUCACGAAUCGCGUCGCCCCCCACAAUUCUCCGUAAAGGGAACAUGUGUUUUGGGGGCGGAUAUUGGUCCCCCGUGCUCAUGGCGUGGUUGGCCGAAAUAGGAGUCCUUUCGAUGGACGCAUGAACUAGUGGUGGUCGUAAAAACCCUCGUCUUUUGUUUCGUGCUGUUGCUCGCAAGGUAAACUCUUUAAAAACCCCAAUGUGUCGUCUCUUGACGACGCUUCGACCGCGACCCCAGGUCAGGCGGGACUACCCGCUGAGUUUAAGCAUAUCAAUGAGCGGAGGA
Molecule: unclassified non-coding RNA, 404 nt
Filed under: soil metagenome
Description: partial contains 5.8S ribosomal RNA, internal transcribed spacer 2, and large subunit ribosomal RNA
Rfam family: 5.8S ribosomal RNA (bases 1-122)
Source: RNAcentral